UAAUACAUGCAAGUCGAGCGAACGGACGAGAAGCUUGCUUCUCUGAUGUUAGCGGCGGACGGGUGAGUAACACGUGGAUAACCUACCUAUAAGACUGGGAUAACUUCGGGAAACCGGAGCUAAUACCGGAUAAUAUUUUGAACCGCAUGGUUCAAAAGUGAAAGACGGUCUUGCUGUCACUUAUAGAUGGAUCCGCGCUGCAUUAGCUAGUUGGUAAGGUAACGGCUUACCAAGGCAACGAUGCAUAGCCGACCUGAGAGGGUGAUCGGCCACACUGGAACUGAGACACGGUCCAGACUCCUACGGGAGGCAGCAGUAGGGAAUCUUCCGCAAUGGGCGAAAGCCUGACGGAGCAACGCCGCGUGAGUGAUGAAGGUCUUCGGAUCGUAAAACUCUGUUAUUAGGGAAGAACAUAUGUGUAAGUAACUGUGCACAUCUUGACGGUACCUAAUCAGAAAGCCACGGCUAACUACGUGCCAGCAGCCGCGGUAAUACGUAGGUGGCAAGCGUUAUCCGGAAUUAUUGGGCGUAAAGCGCGCGUAGGCGGUUUUUUAAGUCUGAUGUGAAAGCCCACGGCUCAACCGUGGAGGGUCAUUGGAAACUGGAAAACUUGAGUGCAGAAGAGGAAAGUGGAAUUCCAUGUGUAGCGGUGAAAUGCGCAGAGAUAUGGAGGAACACCAGUGGCGAAGGCGACUUUCUGGUCUGUAACUGACGCUGAUGUGCGAAAGCGUGGGGAUCAAACAGGAUUAGAUACCCUGGUAGUCCACGCCGUAAACGAUGAGUGCUAAGUGUUAGGGGGUUUCCGCCCCUUAGUGCUGCAGCUAACGCAUUAAGCACUCCGCCUGGGGAGUACGACCGCAAGGUUGAAACUCAAAGGAAUUGACGGGGACCCGCACAAGCGGUGGAGCAUGUGGUUUAAUUCGAAGCAACGCGAAGAACCUUACCAAAUCUUGACAUCCUUUGACAACUCUAGAGAUAGAGCUUUCCCCUUCGGGGGACAAAGUGACAGGUGGUGCAUGGUUGUCGUCAGCUCGUGUCGUGAGAUGUUGGGUUAAGUCCCGCAACGAGCGCAACCCUUAAGCUUAGUUGCCAUCAUUAAGUUGGGCACUCUAAGUUGACUGCCGGUGACAAACCGGAGGAAGGUGGGGAUGACGUCAAAUCAUCAUGCCCCUUAUGAUUUGGGCUACACACGUGCUACAAUGGACAAUACAAAGGGCAGCGAAACCGCGAGGUCAAGCAAAUCCCAUAAAGUUGUUCUCAGUUCGGAUUGUAGUCUGCAACUCGACUACAUGAAGCUGGAAUCGCUAGUAAUCGUAGAUCAGCAUGCUACGGUGAAUACGUUCCCGGGUCUUGUACACACCGCCCGUCACACCACGAGAGUUUGUAACACCCGAAGCCGGUGGAGUAACCUUUUAGGAG
This 1419-nucleotide ribosomal RNA is filed under the name Staphylococcus aureus. Its description in RNAcentral is "16S ribosomal RNA". It matches the Rfam family "Bacterial small subunit ribosomal RNA". The record is from RNAcentral. Lineage: Bacteria; Bacillati; Bacillota; Bacilli; Caryophanales; Staphylococcaceae.